GCGUGCGCAUGCUCCCGAUUGCGGGACCGGUGAUGGUAAGAUUAGACCUGUCAGGGCAUAUGGGCGGAAACGAAAAGAUCAUUAAAUGCCUUAGUGUAUGCUUAUACUUCCUGCCUAUAGGUGACUGCAUAGUGACUGGAAUAAGCAUGCAAAAUGUUCUACUAAUUGGGGAGAAUCUUGGUGGCUGUGCAUCUAUUUCUGGAUCAUUGCUUGGGGAGAAUA
Quercus lobata is the source of this 222-nucleotide long non-coding RNA. RefSeq lists it as uncharacterized. The transcript has 3 exons. NCBI's taxonomy places the organism in Eukaryota, Viridiplantae, Streptophyta, Magnoliopsida, Fagales, Fagaceae. The record is from RefSeq and is a predicted model, not a curated record.